UGUGGUUUAAUUCGAUGCAACGCGAAGAACCUUACCUGGUCUUGACAUAGUAAGAACUUUCCAGAGAUGGAUUGGUGCCUUCGGGAACUUACAUACAGGUGCUGCAUGGCUGUCGUCAGCUCGUGUCGUGAGAUGUUGGGUUAAGUCCCGCAACGAGCGCAACCCUUUUCCUUAUUUGCCAGCACUUCGGGUGGGAACUUUAAGGAUACUGCCAGUGACAAACUGGAGGAAGGCGGGGACGACGUCAAGUCAUCAUGGCCCUUACGACCAGGGCUACACACGUGCUACAAUGGUCGGUACAAAGGGUUGCUACCUAGCGAUAGGAUGCUAAUCUCAAAAAGCCGAUCGUAGUCCGGAUUGGAGUCUGCAACUCGACUCCAUGAAGUCGGAAUCGCUAGUAAUCGUGGAUCAGAAUGCCGCGGUGAAUACGUUCCCGGGCCUUGUACACACCGCCCGUCACACCAUGGGAGUUUGUUGCACCAGAAGUAGGUAGUCUAACCGUAAGGAGGACGCUUACCACGGUGUGGCCGAUGACUGGGGUGAAGUCGUAACAAGGUAGC
This 560-nucleotide ribosomal RNA is filed under the name uncultured bacterium. RNAcentral's name for it is "bacterial SSU rRNA". It matches the Rfam family "Bacterial small subunit ribosomal RNA", at positions 940 to 1500 of the family's 1533-position model. The record is from RNAcentral.